GAAAGUGUCGCCCCUGAUUAACCUGUGCGGACUGCACAGGCUAAUCUGGGACGACACUUAACGCACAUGCAUUUUGCCCAAUUUUCACAGAACAAGACACAUAUUAAUCAAAUGUAUUGUAUACAUGUAAUUCAAAUGUUAUCCCUCGUAUCCGGACAAUGAUACUAAUAUUUAAAAAGACGAACGAGAAAACGUAAAAUGUAUUGUCUAUACAUGAAACAACGACACGAUUUUGGCAAUAUUUGUUUAAGAAACUUGUAAAUUAAAACUUCAUUUUCGUAAACCGAGGUAUAUCUCAAUGUGAUAGCUUUGUCUCUAAACUAGAACGUUAUGUGGUCAAUAUAUACGACAUGACGCUAGUCGAUUAACCCAUUUAUGCCCAGCGUCCUGAAAAAAGGACAUUGCAAACAGCGUAGACCCAGAUGAUACGCCGCAUGAUGCGGCGUCUCAUCUGGGCCUGCGCUGUUUGCUUAAAUGAAUUUCUUUAUGAAAUAUUCUAAAUAUAGACAUAAAUAUACUUGACAGCCCUAAUUUUGGAAACAAAUUGAUCCAAUUUAGAAGGAUGGGAGAGUCCCCUGGGCAUAAAUGGGUUAACCCAGGAGCAUGUACCAGUUUAGUGACAUGCGUUAUCAGAUUAAUAUGCAACGGGGCACAAUUCAGUAUAUAAUUGCACUCAUAACAAUUAAAACCAAAACUUUCGUUGGAGCGUUGAUUCAAUAAAUGACCGUUACAUCAAAUAA
This is a long non-coding RNA of Dreissena polymorpha, 740 nucleotides long. RefSeq lists it as uncharacterized. NCBI's taxonomy places the organism in Eukaryota, Metazoa, Mollusca, Bivalvia, Myida, Dreissenidae. The record is from RefSeq and is a predicted model, not a curated record. The transcript is spliced from 2 exons.